This 372-nucleotide ribosomal RNA is filed under the name uncultured bacterium. RNAcentral describes it as "bacterial SSU rRNA". It matches the Rfam family "Bacterial small subunit ribosomal RNA", at positions 28 to 399 of the family's 1533-position model. The record is from RNAcentral.
GACGAACGCUGGCGGCGUGCUUAACACAUGCAAGUCGAGCGGUAAGGCCCUUUCGGGGGUACACGAGCGGCGAACGGGUGAGUAACACGUGGGUGACCUGCCCUCAGCUCUGGGAUAAGCCUGGGAAACGUGGGUCUAAUACCGGAUAUGACUCCAUGACGCAUGUUGUGGGGUGGAAAGCCUUGUGCGGCUGAGGAUGGGCCCGCGGCCUAUCAGCGUUGUUGGUGGGGNGAUGGCCUACCAAGGCGACGACGGGUAGCCGGCCUGAGAGGGCGACCGGCCACACUGGGACUGAGACACGGCCCAGACUCCUACGGGAGGCAGCAGUGGGGAAUCUUGCGCAAUGGGCGAAAGCCUGACGCAGCGACGCCG